This 583-nucleotide ribosomal RNA is filed under the name Ceratocystiopsis minuta. RNAcentral's name for it is "eukaryotic LSU rRNA". It matches the Rfam family "Eukaryotic large subunit ribosomal RNA", at positions 55 to 654 of the family's 3401-position model. The record is from RNAcentral. Lineage: Eukaryota; Fungi; Ascomycota; Sordariomycetes; Ophiostomatales; Ophiostomataceae.
GGAAAAGAAACCAACAGGGAUUGCCUCAGUAACGGCGAGUGAAGCGGCAACAGCUCAAAUUUGAAAUCUGGCUCCCCUUGGGGGUCCGAGUUGUAAUUUGGAGAGGAUGUUUCUGGCGCGGCGCCUUCCGGAGUUCCUUGGAACAGGACGCCACAGAGGGUGAGAGCCCCGUACGGUCGGCCGCCAAACCUCCAAAAGAAACUCCUUCGACGAGUCGAGUAGUUUGGGAAUGCUGCUCAAAAUGGGAGGUAAAUUUCUUCUAAAGCUAAAUACCGGCCAGAGACCGAUAGCGCACAAGUAGAGUGAUCGAAAGAUGAAAAGCACCUUGAAAAGAGGGUUAAACAGUACGUGAAAUUGUUGAAAGGGAAGCGCCUGCGACCAGACUCGCGCCCCGCGGACCAGCCGGCGUUCUCGCCGGUGCACUCCGCGGGGUGCGGGCCAGCAUCGGUUUUCCCUGGGGGAGAAAGGCCGCGGGAACGUAGCUCCUUCGGGAGUGUUAUAGCCCGUGGCGUCAUGCCCCAGGGGGGACCGAGGACCGCGCUUCGGCAAGGAUGCUGGCGUAAUGGUCGUCGGCGACCCGUUG